RNAcentral lists this transfer RNA (73 nucleotides) under Anolis monticola. RNAcentral describes it as "tRNA-Asx". Lineage: Eukaryota; Metazoa; Chordata; Lepidosauria; Squamata; Anolidae. The record is from RNAcentral.
CGAAUAGAGGCCCGCUGGUUUGGGUGUUUAGCUGUUAACUAAUUAGUCGUGGGAUCAAGGCCCGCCUAUUCAG